This 69-nucleotide transfer RNA is filed under the name Aphyosemion coeleste (sky-blue killifish). Its description in RNAcentral is "tRNA-Asp". The record is from RNAcentral. Lineage: Eukaryota; Metazoa; Chordata; Actinopteri; Cyprinodontiformes; Nothobranchiidae.
AAGACCCUAGUAAAAAUAAUACCUUGUUUUGUCAAGACAAAAUUGUGGGUUAAACCCCCACGAGUCUUA